This 72-nucleotide transfer RNA is filed under the name Micromonas pusilla CCMP1545. It matches the Rfam family "tRNA". Rfam says of the family: Transfer RNA (tRNA) molecules are approximately 80 nucleotides in length. Their secondary structure includes four short double-helical elements and three loops (D, anti-codon, and T loops). Further hydrogen bonds mediate the characteristic L-shaped molecular structure. tRNAs have two regions of fundamental functional importance: the anti-codon, which is responsible for specific mRNA codon recognition, and the 3' end, to which the tRNAs corresponding amino acid is attached (by aminoacyl-tRNA synthetases). tRNAs cope with the degeneracy of the genetic code in two manners: having more than one tRNA (with a specific anti-codon) for a particular amino acid; and 'wobble' base-pairing, i.e. permitting non-standard base-pairing at the 3rd anti-codon position. The record is from Rfam by way of RNAcentral. Lineage: Eukaryota; Viridiplantae; Chlorophyta; Mamiellophyceae; Mamiellales; Mamiellaceae.
GCCUUCUUAGCACAGUGGUAGUGCGUGUCCUUCGUAAGGAUGAGGUCGGGAGUUCGAUCCUCCCAGAGGGCA